This is a long non-coding RNA of Gallus gallus (chicken), 1893 nucleotides long. RefSeq lists it as uncharacterized. The record is from RefSeq and is a predicted model, not a curated record. Lineage: Eukaryota; Metazoa; Chordata; Aves; Galliformes; Phasianidae. The transcript has 4 exons.
GACAAGGGGGAAUGGUUUUCAACUGAGACAGAGGUGGUUUAGGUUGGAUACUAGGAGGAAGUUUUUCCCCCAGAGGGUGAUGACACACUGGAACAGUGCAAUCCUGUGCACGCUCAGGUGUGUUUUGUAGUGAUUUCCCAAUCAAUCCUCACGGGGUUUCUUUGUUAGGACGGGAGUGAAGGGGAGCACUGUGAAGCUGUUUGCUUUCCUUGCUCUCUGCUGCAGGUUUGUGCUGGCAGCGGUGCAGUUGAUUUGCUUUUUCUUGGGAGGGUGGGAAGGAGCUUAGCAGGCCCGGUUCUUCUCAAACGAUUCUGAUCCUCCAGUGUCAGUACUGCAGGGAGUGCACGACCUGAAGGACUUGUGGGUUGUGAUGAAUUUGUAUCUCCACAGCUUCUAAUAUUUUGGAUUGUGUGUUCUAGGGCAAGCAAUUUUGGGGACGUGAUUUAUCAUCACCACAGCUAACACUGCGUGGGAAAUCUUGGCAUGCUUUGACUUGCCAGUGCUUUCCAUUGUCUCCACUUGCCUGUAGGCUCCUUGAAAUGUAUGCCUAAUGUGGAAAUAUUUUCUGCUUUCCUAGCUUUUGUGGUAUAAAGAAGCACAGAAAGGUGAUGGAACAGCUUGUUCUAGAUGCCAUGGCCAAGCAAUUGGAGAAGAAGAAGGUCAUCAGGAAUAGUCAGCAUGGAUUUACCAAGGGAAAAUUGUGCUUGACCAACCUCCUAGGCUUCUGUGAGGCAUCAGCAGCUGUAUAGAUGGCGGGAGAGCAAUGGAUGUCGUCUACGUUGACUUCAGCACUGCUUUUGAUGCAGUCUCCCACGACAUGCUGAUGGACAGAGCUGCCACUUCAAGUCCAGAUCUGAAAUGUUGGCAGAGUGACCUAACAGCGAUGACCCAGAAAAGGUGUUGAAAUUUGUUAUGAACUGUACAGUCCUCGAAUCCAGGAAAUUACAGUUCUGAAGCUGGAAAAAAGGCUGGAUGACAACCUGACAUACCUGAGAGAUGCCCUUCCUGAAUAUAGUUUUGAUAUGAAUAUGAAACCUGUGUCUCAUUUAAACCAUGAAGAAAUUCCUGUAAACAAGCUGCAGGUCAGAAUGAAACCUAAACCAUGGUCAAAACAGUGGGAGAGGCCAAAAUACAACAUAAAAGGAAUAAAGUUUGAGCUACCUGAGAAAACAAUGAAGGAAGCACAGAAAUGGAAGCAGCCCUGGAUGGAGUUCGAUAUGCUGCGAGAGUGCGAUGCUUCAAAAAUAGAGGAAAAAUAUGGAGGGAAGUGAGUGAAGAGCUCAACAAGUAACAGCUUUGAGUUCAACGUAAGAAUUGUCAGUUUUCAAGUUUUGUAUGCAGAUAAAAGACACAGUAAAAUUUCAGCAGUUCUUGUCUGAAUGUUUAACUGUCCGUUCCUGAAAACAAACGUUCCCUUUUCUGACCAGUGUUACAGUGUUUUCAGCCCUGCUUCUGCCUUCUCUUAUAAAUCACAGCUAAUAGAAAGGGUUUCUAAUUAAUGUGCUGUCACUUCCAAAUAGUUGUUUCUUCUGUCUGCCAGGCAGACAGCAGCCAAUUGUGAAAAUGCUUAAUACAACAGGUUCAGAAGGGGGCUAUGGCAGGGAAGCAGAUGUACAGAAGCCCAGCUGUACAAUCUGGGAGUAAGUGCUGCUUAGUUGUCCUGUAAAGACACUUCCAAAAUCACAUCUGAUAAAGCACCAAUAGUAAUCUGACAACAAAACAGUAAUACAAACAUUUUGAAACCAGCUUGAAAGAGUGAAGCCAGGUUGGCUGUUACUCAAAUCAGACUGCGUGAAUGGGUGUAAGGUUCACCACAGAGUGGCACAGUCGGUUCUCAAGAUACUCACUCAGCUGGGAUGGGGGUCCUGAGCUCCAGUAAAAAUUGCCUUCCCC